Molecule: regulatory RNA element, 49 nt
Rfam family: Ribosomal protein L19 leader
About the family: This family is a putative r-protein leader autoregulatory structure found in B. subtilis and other low-GC Gram-positive bacteria. It is located in the 5' untranslated regions of mRNAs encoding ribosomal protein L19 (rplS).
Source: Rfam
ACGAUGUUCCGCUGCAGGGUAUAAGGGAAUUUAUGUGCAUGAGCAUCUG